Molecule: ribosomal RNA, 528 nt
Filed under: uncultured Micrococcus sp.
Lineage: Bacteria; Bacillati; Actinomycetota; Actinomycetes; Micrococcales; Micrococcaceae
Description: bacterial SSU rRNA
Rfam family: Bacterial small subunit ribosomal RNA
Source: RNAcentral
CGUGCUUAACACAUGCAAGUCGAACGAUGAAGCCCAGCUUGCUGGGUGGAUUAGUGGCGAACGGGUGAGUAACACGUGAGUAACCUGCCCUUAACUCUGGGAUAAGCCUGGGAAACUGGGUCUAAUACCGGAUAGGAGCGUCCACCGCAUGGUGGGUGUUGGAAAGAUUUAUCGGUUUUGGAUGGACUCGCGGCCUAUCAGCUUGUUGGUGAGGUAAUGGCUCACCAAGGCGACGACGGGUAGCCGGCCUGAGAGGGUGACCGGCCACACUGGGACUGAGACACGGCCCAGACUCCUACGGGAGGCAGCAGUGGGGAGUAUUGCACAAUGGGCGAAAGCCUGAUGCAGCGACGCCGCGUGAGGGAUGACGGCCUUCGGGUUGUAAACCUCUUUCAGUAGGGAAGAAGCGAAAGUGACGGUACCUGCAGAAGAAGCACCGGCUAACUACGUGCCAGCAGCCGCGGUAAUACGUAGGGUGCGAGCGUUAUCCGGAAUUAUUGGGCGUAAAGAGCUCGUAGGCGGUUUGUC